This 97-nucleotide transfer RNA is filed under the name Streptomyces sp. TS71-3. Its description in RNAcentral is "tRNA-Glu". Lineage: Bacteria; Bacillati; Actinomycetota; Actinomycetes; Kitasatosporales; Streptomycetaceae. The record is from RNAcentral.
GGAUCGGGUACGUCGCGUACUCGUCCCGCUUCUCGCGCAGGAUCCGAGCGGCGCGCCCGACGAUCCGGGCCCGUUCCGCGACGGGCCUGAGCCGCCA